This 603-nucleotide long non-coding RNA is filed under the name Mytilus galloprovincialis (Mediterranean mussel). Lineage: Eukaryota; Metazoa; Mollusca; Bivalvia; Mytilida; Mytilidae. The record is from RNAcentral.
AUUGAUAAAUGACAGGUGUUUAUAUUAUACCUACCAGACAGAUAUGUUCACCAUACAAUAUAGUACAAAUAUUAAAUAUAAUUUGCUAUCAUAUCUGAGAUACUGACUUGAACUAGGAAACUUAACUUUGUGAAUUAUCAAUGAUUACUUGGUCAAAUGAGAACUGUUAGAUUGGCAUUAUGACCAUAUAGUUGCACACAUACAAAAAUCGCUAACAUAUAACUUAUAAUAGAGAAUCAACAUAGCAAACAAUUCUUCGAGUAGCUAUAUAGUCACUCACUGAACUAUGAAAAAGAGGUUCAAGACAAUCAUAUCAAAACAGAUAAAUUGUAAUAUUGUGGCUAAUUAAAAAAUAAAGUGGGGAAAAAUAUAUUGUUUUGGCGAAAGAGGUGGCGAAAAAAAUAAUUGACCCAGGGGAAACCCUGGGGCUAAAGAUACCAGAUGAACAGCAAACUCAUAAAUGGAAAAUAAACUUACAAUUCCAUGACUAAAACUGAAAAAGACAUGCAUACAAAUAAAAGUACACUAGAAACAACAUAGAAAACUAAAGACUGAGCAACACGAACCCCACCAAAACAGGUGAUCUCAGGUGCUCCGGAUGGG